GACAGAGGGUGCAAACGUUGUUCGGAAUUACUGGGCGUAAAGCGAGUGUAGGCGGUUCGAUAAGUCGGAUGUGAAAGCCCCGGGCUCAACCCGGGAAGUGCACUCGAUACUGUCGAGCUAGAGUAUCGGAGAGGUUGGUGGAAUUCCCAGUGUAGUGGUGAAAUACGUAGAGAUUGGGAAGAACACCAGUGGCGAAGGCGGCUAUCUGGACGGUUUCUGACGCUAAGACGCGAAAGCGUGGGGAGCAAACAGG
This 253-nucleotide ribosomal RNA is filed under the name uncultured bacterium. RNAcentral's name for it is "partial 16S ribosomal RNA". It matches the Rfam family "Bacterial small subunit ribosomal RNA", at positions 524 to 776 of the family's 1533-position model. The record is from RNAcentral.